GCUUUGGGCAGUUGGUUGUAGAAUUAACAGAAUAAUUAGGAUUGUAAAUGGAAGAAAGCAAUAGAUAUUGCAAAGUUUGUGUUACCGGUGGUUCUGGAUUUAUUGGUUCAUGUCUCCUUAAAAUGCUCUUAAAUAAAGGCAUUUACUAUGUUCAUGCCACUCUCAGAAACUUGGCACCAAAGUGAACCGUUUAAAGGGGUUAGAAGGAGCGGAAACACGACUGCGAUUGUUUGAAGCAGACAUAUAUAAUCCUCAACAAUUUGAAGAGGCCAUUAAAGAUUGCCAAUUUGUGUUCCAUGUUGCAACACCUUUUAUCAACACUCAACAAUCUCAAUACAAGGAUUUAACCGAGGCAGCAUUAGCUGGAGUAAAGAGCAUUAUCAUGUCCUGCAUAAGAUCAGGCACCGUGAAGCGACUCGUCUAUACCGCCACUGUGAUGGCUGCAUCACCUCUCAAAGACGACGCGAGUGGUUUUAAGGAUAUCAUGGAUGAAAGCUGCUGGACUCCGAUACAUCAUCCUUUUGUUAAUUCUUUACCACUUAAGGACUAUGUAAUCUCAAAAACAGAAUCAGAGAAAGCAGCCUUGAAAUUUGGAGAAGACGGCGAUUUGGAGAUAGUAACCCUGGCUUGUGGGUUAGUAGGAGGGAAGACUACACUUUCCUUCACGAAUCUUCCCACUGUAAUGGUUAUGAUAUCUCCGCUAACAGGUAUCGAGUUUCACUAUAUAAGACGUUGAAAGAACUAGAUGUUUUGUGUGGGAAGAUCCCUAUCAUACAUCUUGAAGAUGCUUGUGAAGCACACAUUUUCUGUAUCGAGAAUGAUUCAAUCAAAGGCAGGUUCUUAUGUGCUAGUGACUAUGUUUCUGCUGCUGAAAUCGCCGAGUGUCUUCAGCAAACUCACCCUGAAUUGAAUGUUAAACCAAUGUAUAUGGAAGGACCAAAGAGGGCUGUAAAGUGGGGAUCAACAAAGCUAAUUGAUCAGGGUUUCGAGUAUAAGCAUGACUUGAAGAUGAUAUUAGAUGAUAGUGUGAAAUUCUGGAGGAAAUUAGAUGGAUCAUUGUAGAUAGUACGUUGAUGUGUGGAUCUAAACCGUGAUUUCCCAAAUCUGAACUCGGUUAUAAGAAGAGCACAAAAGUUGUUUAAGUUCAGAAUCAAAGCAUGGAUGUUCAUGUUUAGUUCCUACAUGUACAUCUGGUAGAACAACACUGUAUAAAUUUGGAAUCUGUUGGUUUUUUGAUUUGUGCAAUUUAGAGUACUUAGAAUUCUAUAAUAAUCUUUGCUCCUUGAAAUUUUAUAUUUAAAACAAAUUUGAGUCAUAUAUUGGUUGUGCAAAUUCUGUCAAAUAUUGGAUCCACCUUAGAAAUGUCAUAAAAUGUGUAAAUAUUGGAUUCAUAAUGCACGUCCCUUAUAUUGUGAUCGAGUUUUGUUAAUUUAAUUCAUUAUUUCAAUAGGGCACUAGUGGGUGUGUAAUAUUUGGACCGACUUAUAAGGAGUACCUCAAACGCUAUAUGUAAGUACUACAUA
Long non-coding RNA from Chenopodium quinoa (quinoa), 1523 nucleotides. RefSeq lists it as uncharacterized. The record is from RefSeq and is a predicted model, not a curated record. The transcript is spliced from 5 exons. Lineage: Eukaryota; Viridiplantae; Streptophyta; Magnoliopsida; Caryophyllales; Amaranthaceae.